CACCUGGGGAGUACGGCCGCAAGGUUAAAACUCAAAUGAAUUGACGGGGGCCCGCACAAGCGGUGGAGCAUGUGGUUUAAUUCGACGCAACGCGAAGAACCUUACCUGGCCUUGACAUGCAGAGAACUUUCCAGAGAUGGAUUGGUGCCUUCGGGAACUCUGACACAGGUGCUGCAUGGCCGUCGUCAGCUCGUGUCGUGAGAUGUUGGGUUAAGUCCCGUAACGAGCGCAACCCCUAUCCCUAGUUGCUAGCAGUUCGGCUGAGAACUCUAGGGAGACUGCCGGUGACAAACCGGAGGAAGGUGGGGAUGACGUCAGGUCAUCAUGGCCCUUACGGCCAGGGCUACACACGUGCUACAAUGGUGCGCACAGAGGGCUGCAAACCCGCGAGGGGGAGCCAAUCUCACAAAACGCAUCGUAGUCCGGAUCGCAGUCUGCAACUCGACUGCGUGAAGUCGGAAUCGCUAGUAAUCGUGAAUCAGAAUGUCACGGUGAAUACGUUCCCGGGCCUUGUACACACCGCCCGUCACACCAUUGGAGUGGAUUGCACCAGAAGUGGUUAGUCUAACCUUCGGGAGGACGAUCACCACGGUGUGGUUCAUGACUGGGGUGAAGUCGUAACAAGGUAACCGUA
RNAcentral lists this ribosomal RNA (634 nucleotides) under uncultured Marinobacter sp. RNAcentral describes it as "bacterial SSU rRNA". It matches the Rfam family "Bacterial small subunit ribosomal RNA", at positions 870 to 1504 of the family's 1533-position model. The record is from RNAcentral. Lineage: Bacteria; Pseudomonadati; Pseudomonadota; Gammaproteobacteria; Pseudomonadales; Marinobacteraceae.